UUCGCCCUUAGAGUUUGAUCCUGGCUCAGGAUGAACGCUGGCGGCGUGCUUAACACAUGCAAGUCGAACGGGAAACCUUUUAUUGAAGCUUCGGCAGAUUUAGCUGGUUUCUAGUGGCGGACGGGUGAGUAACGCGUGGGUAACCUGCCUUAUACAGGGGGAUAACAACCAGAAAUGGUUGCUAAUACCGCAUAAGCGCACAGGACCGCAUGGUCUAGUGUGAAAAACUCCGGUGGUAUAAGAUGGACCCGCGUUGGAUUAGCUAGUUGGCAGGGUAACGGCCUACCAAGGCGACGAUCCAUAGCCGGCCUGAGAGGGUGAACGGCCACAUUGGGACUGAGACACGGCCCAGACUCCUACGGGAGGCAGCAGUGGGGAAUAUUGCACAAUGGGGGAAACCCUGAUGCAGCGACGCCGCGUGAAGGAAGAAGUAUCUCGGUAUGUAAACUUCUAUCAGCAGGGAAGAUAGUGACGGUACCUGACUAAGAAGCCCCGGCUAACUACGUGCCAGCAGCCGCGGUAAUACGUAGGGGGCAAGCGUUAUCCGGAUUUACUGGGUGUAAAGGGAGCGUAGACGGACUGGCAAGUCUGAUGUGAAAGGCGGGGGCUCAACCCCUGGACUGCAUUGGAAACUGUUAGUCUUGAGUGCCGGAGAGGUAAGCGGAAUUCCUAGUGUAGCGGUGAAAUGCGUAGAUAUUAGGAGGAACACCAGUGGCGAAGGCGGCCUACUGGGCUUUAACUGACGCUGAGGCACGAAAGUGUGGGUAGCAAACAGGAUUAGAUACCCUGGUAGUCCACACUGUAAACGAUGAUUUACUAGGUGUGGGGGGUUUAACCCCCUCCGUGCCGGAGUUUAACACAAAUAAGUAAUCCACCUGGGGAGUACGACCGCAAGGUUGAAACUCAAAGGAAUUGACGGGGGCCCGCACAAGCAGUGGAGUAUGUGGUUUAAUUCGACGCAACGCGAAGAACCUUACCAGGUCUUGACAUCCAACUAACGAAGCAGAGAUGCAUUAGGUGCCCUUCGGGGAAAGUUGAGACAGGUGGUGCAUGGUUGUCGUCAGCUCGUGUCGUGAGAUGUUGGGUUAAGUCCCGCAACGAGCGCAACCCUUGUGAUUAGUUGCUACGCAAGAGCACUCUAAUCAGACUGCCGUUGACAAAACGGAGGAAGGUGGGGACGACGUCAAAUCAUCAUGCCCUUUAUGACCUGGGCUACACACGUACUACAAUGGUCGUUAACAGAGGGAAGCAAUACCGCGAGGUGGAGCAAAACCCUAAAAACGGUCUCAGUUCAGAUUGUAGGCUGCAACUCGCCUACAUGAAGUUGGAAUUGCUAGUAAUCGCGGAUCAGCAUGCCGCGGUGAAUACGUUCCCGGGCCUUGUACACACCGCCCGUCA
RNAcentral lists this ribosomal RNA (1398 nucleotides) under uncultured bacterium. RNAcentral describes it as "16S ribosomal RNA". It matches the Rfam family "Bacterial small subunit ribosomal RNA". The record is from RNAcentral.